Molecule: ribosomal RNA, 253 nt
Filed under: uncultured bacterium
Lineage: Bacteria
Description: partial 16S ribosomal RNA
Rfam family: Bacterial small subunit ribosomal RNA
Source: RNAcentral
UACGGAGGGUGCGAGCGUUAAUCGGAAUUACUGGGCGUAAAGCGUGCGUAGGCGGUUGUCUAAGUCAGAUGUGAAAGCCCCGGGCUCAACCUGGGAACUGCAUUUGAAACUGGGCAGCUAGAGUUUGGUAGAGGAAGGUAGAAUUCCUGGUGUAGCGGUGAGAUGCGCAGAUAUCAGGAGGAACACCAAUUGCGAAGGCAGCUCGCUGGGACGUUACUGACGCUGAGACGCGAAAGCGUGGGGAGCAAACAGG